This 253-nucleotide ribosomal RNA is filed under the name uncultured bacterium. Its description in RNAcentral is "partial 16S ribosomal RNA". It matches the Rfam family "Bacterial small subunit ribosomal RNA", at positions 524 to 776 of the family's 1533-position model. The record is from RNAcentral.
UACAGAGGGUGCGAGCGUUGUCCGGAAUCACUGGGCGUAAAGGGCGCGUAGGCGGCUUGAUAAGGUUGCGGUGAAAGCCCGGGGCUCAACCCCGGGUCGGCCGUGGCAACUGUCGAGCUGGAGCACUGUAGAGGCAGGUGGAAUUCCGGGUGUAGCGGUGGAAUGCGUAGAGAUCCGGAAGAACACCGGUGGCGAAGGCGGCCUGCUGGGUAGUGGCUGACGCUGAGGCGCGACAGCGUGGGGAGCAAACAGG